CUCGUCCGGCACUGCUCUGCAGAUUCACGAUGCUGUUCUUGUGGGAGAGCGAUCCAUUUGUGUGUAGCUGUCUGCGUUCUUCACCUCCUACCCUGGGAGCAGAGAGCCAGGAAGUCACCACUAAUCUGCCGUUUUCCUGGCCCCACCUCCGCUCUUCAUUAUUUUAAGGUGAUCUGUCUUGGACCUCUCCCUCUGGGGGGCUGCCAGCUGCCAUUCUGAGAAACAGCUCUGUGGAGGGGUUCUUAUGAGUGACUUUGGAUCAGAGAAUCUUAGGCCUGCCUCAAGCCAGUCUUAGAUCAUUCACUCUGUG
Molecule: long non-coding RNA, 310 nt
Organism: Lemur catta (Ring-tailed lemur)
Lineage: Eukaryota; Metazoa; Chordata; Mammalia; Primates; Lemuridae
Exons: 3
Source: RefSeq, a predicted model, not a curated record